RNAcentral lists this unclassified non-coding RNA (373 nucleotides) under Hevea brasiliensis (rubber tree). The record is from RNAcentral. Lineage: Eukaryota; Viridiplantae; Streptophyta; Magnoliopsida; Malpighiales; Euphorbiaceae.
GCACUAUUGGAUCUACAUGUAAUGUAAAUAGUCAAUUCUAUAUGGGCCUGAUACGGUCGGUUUCUUUAAGUCUUCAUGGCUGAAAAUACUAGGGAUUAGUAAAGUUACUGUAAAGGGCGAAUGAGGAUGAAAAGAAUGUAAUAGGGCUCUUCAAGCAAGAAUACAUUUACUUUUGCAGUAAAGGCUGGAAAAGCUAGGAUUUCUUCUGCUAGUACCUGGCCAUAUCGUUCAUUUUGUAAAUAUUGUGGGGGUAGAGAGGGAGCGCUUGGUGCAUGAUCAUAAAAUACCAGAUUGAAUCAAUGUUAACAGAACUUACUGCCUCAAUUUGCUAAAUGUAGACAACUAUGUCUUUUGAUGGAUGACACUAUAGAAA